RNAcentral lists this small nucleolar RNA (77 nucleotides) under Oryza sativa (Asian cultivated rice). RNAcentral describes it as "Z183c small nucleolar RNA". The record is from RNAcentral. Lineage: Eukaryota; Viridiplantae; Streptophyta; Magnoliopsida; Poales; Poaceae.
GUGAUGAUGAGCUUUACAUCUUACAGACACUGAUCUAUGUGAAGUAUACAGUAGAACAGCGCGUGCGGCUCUGAGGC